CGUAUCAGUGCCCUGUAUAUCACAGGGUUAAAAGAGAAUCAGGUGAAAAUCCUGAGCGAGCCGGUCACUGUAAACAGGGAGUAAUCUGCAAUAUGUCAUUGGCAUCAUGCUGAGAAGACGCAGAAAGCGACAAUCUGUAAGCCAGGAAACCUGCUGAUAU
Molecule: non-coding RNA, 160 nt
Filed under: pig gut metagenome
Source: RNAcentral